CCGAGCGAGGGCUCCGGCCCGACCUCCAACCCAUUGAAGUUACCAACUCUGUUGCCUCGGGGGUGACCCGGCCGCCGCGUCGGGGCCCCCGGAGGACCACACCACUCUGCGUCUCUGCGUCGGAGUUUUGAGGGAAAAUCGCAAGCA
RNAcentral lists this unclassified non-coding RNA (147 nucleotides) under uncultured fungus. Its description in RNAcentral is "sequence contains ITS1, 5.8S rRNA gene". Lineage: Eukaryota; Fungi. The record is from RNAcentral.